CCUACGGGUGGCUGCAGUGGGGAAUAUUGGACAAUGGGGGCAACCCUGAUCCAGCAAUACCGCGUGUGUGAAGAAGGCCUGAGGGUUGUAAAGCACUUUCAAUUGUGAAGAAAAGUUAGCGGUUAAUAACCGUUAGCCUUGACGUUAGCUUUAGAAGAAGCACCGGCUAACUCCGUGCCAGCAGCCGCGGUAAUACGGAGGGUGCAAGCGUUAAUCGGAAUUACUGGGCUUAAAGAGUUCGUAGGUGGUUGAAAAAGUUAGUGGUGAAAUCCCAGAGCUUAACUCUGGAACUGCCAUUAAAACUUUUCAGCUAGAGUAUGAUAGAGGAAAGCAGAAUUUCUAGUGUAGAGGUGAAAUUCGUAGAUAUUCUGAGGAAUACCAGUGGCGAAGGCGGCCCCCUGGCUUGAUACUGACGCUGAGGUGCGAAAGCGUGGGGAGCA
Molecule: ribosomal RNA, 440 nt
Filed under: uncultured bacterium
Lineage: Bacteria
Description: bacterial SSU rRNA
Rfam family: Bacterial small subunit ribosomal RNA
Source: RNAcentral